RNAcentral lists this long non-coding RNA (2130 nucleotides) under Homo sapiens (human). RNAcentral describes it as "HSALNT0161835". Lineage: Eukaryota; Metazoa; Chordata; Mammalia; Primates; Hominidae. The record is from RNAcentral.
UAAAGAGACUAUUUCCUGCUACUGGAGGGCUAAAAAUGCUGAGAAUUGAGCCCAGGGCAUAAUUAGAGAAAAUUAUGAACUCUCAGUCCUGGUCAGUUUAGCUCCCUCUGUGGGGACAGAGGCUCCCUGAAGCUUGGAAUGGGUUCGUCUGAAGGGAAGCACCCAGGUGCCCAGCCGCCACUGACUUGCAAGGCAAUGGCCACCCUCAGGGCCAGCCACCUGCUCCUGGUCACACCCGAACUUGAGACUACACUUGGCUGGGGAGGCAUUGGGCUUAGUAAGAAAGGGCAGGGACCAAAUUCUAAAGAAGCUGCAGGACUUGGCCAAGGUGACUAGGAAGAGCGAGUCAGAGAGAGUUGUGCGUGUGCACGUGUGUGUGGCAGGCCUGAGGGUCCUGGGACAAGGUAGGGAGGGGGUAGAACAUAAAGUUGGAUAAAGUAGAGUUUAUUUUUAUUUAUUUAUUUACUUAUUUAUUUGAGACAGGGUCUUGCUCUGUUGCCCAGGCUGGAGUGCAGUGGUGCGAUCAUGGCUCACUGCAGCCUUGACUUCAAAGCAGUCCUUCCACCUCAGCCUCCUGAGUUGCUGGGGCUACAGGCAUGUGCCAGCAUCACGGGCUAACUUUUUCUAUUUUUUGUAGAGAUGGGGGUCUCACUAUGUUGCCCAGGCUGCUGUGAGAACACUCUUCUAAGAUACAGGAUAUAACAUCCUAGAAAGAGCCCAGGAGGUGGGGCCAACAUGCUGCCUGUGUAGCCCCUGGAGGCUUGGAGAAAGCAUGGCCCUCUCUAAGCAGAGGUGCCAACAUUGCUGUGGCAGCCAGGGACAUCCGACCUUCCCAGAGCUGUGGAGGUGGCGAAUUGAGCAGGUUAUUCCUGUGGCCAAGGAGGAGAACAGCCCACAAAGUCAUUGCUUAAUCUACACAACCAAAAGAAAUCCAAGAUGGGAGAUGGAGGCUGAGGGCAGCUACCCCAGUGAAAAACUUCAGACCAGACCCCAGUGCCUGAAGGAGAGGCUGGGUUUCCAGGAGGAACAACUCCUUCACGGCAGUGAACGGAGUUUCAUACUUGUUGCCCAGGCUGGAGUGCAAUGGCACAAUCUUGGCUCACCACAAACUCUGCCUCCCAGAUUCAAGUGAGCUCUGUCACCCACGCUAGAGUGCAGUGGCAUGAUCGUAGCGUACUGCAACCUCCACCUCCUGGGCGCAAGAAAUGCUCCCACCUCAGCCUCCUGAGUAGCUGGGACUACAGGUGUGCACCACCACGCCCGGCUACACCACGCCUGGUCUUGAAUUCCUGGGCUCAAGGAGUCCUCUUGCCUCAGGCUACCAAAGUGCUGGGAUUAUAGGUGACAGCCACCGCACUCGGCCAAAAUUGGAAGAAUAUAUAUAUAUAUAUACCCGGUGAAAUAAUCACCACAAUCAAAAAAAUGACUACAUCCAUCACUGAAAACUUUCCUUAUGCCCUUCUGUGAUCCUUUUCUCCCUCCCCCAAGGACCCCUUGGAGAGGCAAGGCAAUGCCACAGGCAAGCACUGAUCUGCUUUCUGUUUGAUUCAUUUGCGAUUUCUAGAAUUUUAUAUAGAUGGAAUCAUACAAUGUGUACUCUUUUGUCUGGCUUCUUUCCAUUAGCAUAAUUAUUUUGAGAUUUAUCUGUAGUGAUGUGAAUAUCAAUAGUUUAUUAUUAUUUUUUCUUUUUUUCUUUUUUAGACAGGGUCUUGCUCUGUCACCCAGGUUGGAGUGCAGUUCAUUCUUUUAAAAUUGCUAAACAGUAUUCCAUAGCAUGGAUGUGCCAUAAUUUAUGCAUUCUUCUUUUUUUUUUUUUUUUGCCCCCGAGAUGGAGUCUUGCUCUGUUGCCCAGUGGCUCUAUCUCAGCUCACUGCAACCUCCGCCUCCCGGGUUUAAUCGAUACUCCUGCCUCAGCCUCCCGAGUAGCUGGGAUUACAGGCACAUGCCACCAUGUGCCGCUAAUUUUUGUAUUUUUAGUAGAGGUGGAGUUUCACCAUGUUGGCCAGACUGGUCUUGAACUCCUGACCUCAUGAUCCGCCCACCUCAGCCUCCCAAAGUGCUGGGACUACAGGGAUGAGCCACUGUGCCUGGCUGCAUUCUUCUGUUGAUGGACACUUGGGUUGUUUCCAG